GAUGAACGCUGGCGGCGUGCCUAAUACAUGCAAGUCGAGCGCACGGACGAGAAGCUUGCUUCUCUGAUGUUUGCGGCGCACGUGUGUGUCACAUGUGGAUAACCCCCCUAUAAGUCUGGUAUAACUUCGGGAAACCGGCUCUAAUACCGUAUAAUAUUUUCAUCCGCAUGGUUCAAAUGUGAAAGACGUUCUUGCUGUCGCUUAUAGUUGGAUCCUCGCUGCAUUAGCUAGUUGGUAAGGUCACGGCUUACCUAGGCAACGAUGCAUAGCCGACCUGAGAGCGUGAUCGGCCGCACUGGAACAGAGACACGGUCCAGCCUCCUACGGGAGGCAGCAGUAGGGAAGCUUCCGCAAUUGGCGAAAGCCUGACGGAGCAACGCAGCGUGGGUGAUGAAGGUCUUCGGAUCGUAGAACUCUGUUAUUAGGGAGGAACAUAUGUGUAAGUAACUGUGCACAUCUUGACGGUACCUAAUCAGAAAGCCACGGCUAACUACGUG
Molecule: ribosomal RNA, 497 nt
Filed under: uncultured bacterium
Lineage: Bacteria
Description: partial 16S ribosomal RNA
Rfam family: Bacterial small subunit ribosomal RNA
Source: RNAcentral